UUGAUACUAUCAAGUGCAUACCUUUGUCUCUGUCUAAAAUAAGAAUCAUACGACAACAAAUCAACUAACGUGUACUUCCCGUACGAUAAGAAAAUCAAGGACAUAACAUAAUUAACUAAGUUUGUCUUUUUCUCUGACAAUACGACAAGACUUGACAACUACCAGUACAUAAUCAAAUAGAAAGUUAUAGUUAAAUAAUUUUGAUGUAGGAUUGAAAAAGAAAAAACCUUUGAUUUCGUCCUUCUCGUUGACGACGUCAAUGAAGGAGACGAAGCUGAUGAGAAUAGACUUUUGGAUUCCAGUUUGAAAAUCUAGUGUAUCUAAGAUUAAUUUUCAAUGAGGCAAUUUCGGGAAGCUUAACAGAUUCUCUAGGAUUUAGGCAGCAAUGAAUUAGAAAGUAUAUAUGUGUAUAGGUCACGGUACAUUAGUUCGGGUGUUUUCGGGUUAUGCUUCGGUUAUCGGAUAUAACCGUUCGGGUACGGGUAUCCGGACUAAUUGAAUCCUAAACCCGUUCGGUUUUUUUUUAACUUCGGUUCGGGUUUCGGUUCGGGUUUUUCGGUUCGGUUCGGGUUCGGAUUCGGGUUUCGGUUAAUAUGCCCACACCUAUAAAAAAGAAUGAAAUGAGAUUAUAUACUAAGGAUUGGACAUGUAUAUGGUAAGCUUAAAAUUGUGAUGUUUACAGACAACAAAAAUUUAGAACCACAAAGGAUCGAACCCAGAGGGAGAGAGUCUGCGUAUUUGGAUAGUGUGGGAGUUUAGCCACUAGGCCAAGAAGAAUCAUCUGUUAUGGAUUACAUUUAAUUUUAUUUAACUCCAAACUGUAACACAAAAAAGAAUUAAAAUAGAUUUUGAAUCCACCACAUAUCGAACCCGGGGAUAGAGAGACUUUUGAGUUAUAAAAAGCCUUGGUUUAACCGCUGGUCUGAGGAGAAUCAUCUGUUAGAGAAUAUUACAUAAGCAUACUUAACCCAAUUAAAUAUAGGAUAGGUUUCCUAAACAAUACAUUUCGAUUGAAAAAAAACAAAACUCUUGCCGUCUCAACACUCUCGCCGUUUCAAACUUCUCGAAUCUCACUCGUCUCCGCCUCUCGAAUCUCUCUCUCAUCUCCAUAUCUCUCGAUCUCCGACGAAAACCCAUCUCCAGAACUCUCUCUCUCUCGAUCUUUUACGCGAGCUCUCUCUAUUCUCCGAGAAAAACCAUUUCUAGAGCUCUAUCUCUUGAAGGUAUGUUGCAGAUUCAACCUUAUGUGUGUUUUCUUUCUGAGAGAUUGGUCUCCUGUUUUUUGCUUGUGUAUAGACUUGCUCGUUUUAACCUAAUAUGAUUCGUAGAAUUCUAGUUCAUGUGAAAGCAUGUGUAUAGACUUCGGGAAGGAUUUGUAUUUUUUUUCAGGAAACCCUUCCUGAAAAUUGGAUUUUAAUUAAUUUAGACAAAUAAAAUUUUUCUUGUUUACGCAGGAUAGAAACAAGAUGGGAGAUCCAUUACCAUUAAGACUAGCACUGCCUGAGCUGAGGUAUCCGAUUGGAUCAGAGCCAGAGAAGACGAUAUCGAUAAACCAACACUCGAUAGUUGCUUAUAUCAAAACUGUUAAGGAAAUUCUAGGAAAUGAUGAGUUCAACAGAAUAAGAGGGACGUUUUUGGGACCGGUGAUCAAGCUUGGAGAGAGGUCUUUGAAAUUAUCAGCUAAGAUAGUGCACGCAGUUCUCACCAAAAGCAUCAAGACAGUGAAGAGACACGAAGCAUGGUUCCAUUUUGGUGCUCAGCCAAUGAGGUUCUCUAUAAGAGAAUUCCACAUGGUGACUGGUUUGAAAUGUAGUGGUGAAGCAAGAGAACCGCGAGAGGGAACCGAGAAAUUUAAGUGGGACUUCCUAAAAGGGCGUACUCAUACAGUAAAGGACGUGGAGAAGCAGCUCAGAAACACAAGAGAAGAUGCUUCUGAUGAGAGAUUCUGCCUUGCAAUGCUCCUCCUGAUUGAGAGCAUACUACUACAGAAGAGCCUUCUCGACGGUGGCACAACUUUUACUUUGGAUUAUGUGAAAAUAGCGCAGGAUAUGGAUGUCUUGAUGACAUACCCAUGGGGGAGAACAGCUUAUAAUUUGCUGUUAAAAUCACUUCAGAGAGCUAUCGACAAAAGCCUCGACAAAAACAAUUAUGAUUUGCAAGGGUUCCCUAUGGCAUUUCUUAUAUGGAUACUUGAGUCAGUACCUUUGCUACAGUAUGCAUUCAGUCAAGUUGUUCCUAUUCUGAGCGUUCAACCGUCUACCCCAAUAUUUUUGUGUGAGAAGUACCUUCAAAUAGCUUCUCCACAGCUGAUAGAUGUUCUCCUAAUUGAAAUCAAAGAUCAUGUAAGUUUUUACAUUAUUUUUUUCUUGUUUCUGUUUUGCCUUAUGAUUCUCCAUUUAAAAGCUAAUUAUUUUUAUGGUUUCAGCUUAAGGUCACAUGCAUCCUACCUCCUAUUUCUAAUGAUCCAGAAGAUGAUGUUUGCAUGGGAGACGAAGCUAAUAAAGAUCUGGAUGACAUGGCCGAUUUAUCGAAGAGAGGUUAUAAGUUUAAAAUUAGAGAUUGGCGAAACAUGUCAGUAGACCUAUACGGUGCUAAUGAAGAAAUAAGAAGAGCAUCUUUACUGUUUGGGAAUGGAGGGAUGAGUCAAGCUUCUACUUCGUAUCAGGAGGAGUCUUUGGAAUCAAAGAUCAACAGAAUCAGCGAGAUGGUGGGAGAUAAUUUAAGGAUCAUGAACGAUCGUUUGUGUUUGAUUGAAAAAGACAGGAAACAGAUUAAAGAACGUGUGACAAACCUAGAGAAACUACAAAGAGUUACUUCAUAUGAAACUCCAAACAAUGAGGUAACUUUUUUUUCAGAAAUUAAAAUUAAUGUUUAUCUAGUUCUUGAUUCAGUUUUGAGUUGUCAAGUAAUUUUGGAAGAUGUUAUACAUAUUUAGGCUUGCCUUCCUAAUUUUUGUUGUACUUGCACAGACUGACACAACUCCAUUUCAUGAGACGGCUUCCAGACAAGGUGAAGCCAAUGCAGAUCAAGCAGAUGAACAACUUAACAAUGAGGCAAGUAUAAUUUUGAAAACUGUUGGUAUUUAUAAAAUUAUGAAUUUGGUACGUGUUCAUAAUCCCAUUCCUGACAUCAGGAUACACGAGAGCCUAUGAAUGAGAUCACGAAAGAGACACCUGGUUCUCCAAUAGCUCAACAGAAUAUUGAGACUCCAGUCCUUACUCCAAUUCAGACGCAGCAGGUACCUUCUUUAAAAAAUUGGACUUUUCAAGUAAUUUUUGGAAGCCCUUGUACGUGUUCAUUCAACCAUUCCUGAAUUCAGGAGACUCACGAGCUUAUGAAUGAGAUCAUUUCACCAAACAUUUCCGACACACAGCCAAAUACCCGAGCUCGCAGAAAUCUUUUAACAGAGCAAAAUAAGGAUGUAGAAAGCAGAGUUCAAAAUCCCUUUGAGAUCGGAGCAAAUGUGGAGAUUUCAUCACAAGAUGACAAUACUUGUCAUAAAUGGUAUCCAGGAAAUGUGUUGGCAACAUAUUUGGUUGAUGGGGUUGAGAUGGUGAAAGUUGAGUACUUCGUCCCGUCUCUGGACGAAAAGAAGAGGAAAAGGAGUGUUGAGACACGUGUAUCAAUUGACAGAAUACGUCCUCAACCACCACCUGAGAGAUCUGGAGCGAAGAAAAGUUAUGAGCUAAUGCAGGACGUGGAGGCGUUCGACAAUGGUGCCUGGUGCGCUGGAAAAGUUAAAGUCAUUUUGUUUGAUGACUCGUGUUUUGUCGCUUUGAACAAUUCUAAAGAAGAAAUUUACUUCCACCAUUCUGAGAUUCGAAAACCAAGAAAAUGGGUAGAUGGUGUUUGGGAGAUGACAAAAAAGGUAAAACAAAUGCCUUGGAUCACUUGAAUUGAAAAACAAUGUCAUUUGUUUAAUAUCUCGGUAUUGAUUUUCAGAAGGAA
RNA transcript from Brassica napus (rape), 3948 nucleotides. It is a transcript of the gene named protein AGENET DOMAIN (AGD)-CONTAINING P1-like, with no coding region annotated. The record is from RefSeq and is a predicted model, not a curated record. Lineage: Eukaryota; Viridiplantae; Streptophyta; Magnoliopsida; Brassicales; Brassicaceae. The transcript has 2 exons.